AUCCAUGUCUGAUGUUUCAAUUAAAUUUGUUCCUGCAUCCUCAUAGGUGUCUGCGUAAGGUAAGUGAUUCUUGGAACAUAUUUAUCGAAUUUUCAUGGAGCAGAAAAUGUCGAAGCAGAAAAAGGAAAAAGUUUUCAGCAGAUGAUCAUAACUCUAUGGGAGAGUUAACACUUGUGUCAAGUUGUAUUAGUGGAGAUAAUUUACCACCUGACUCCAAACGCAAGAAAGCCUACGGAUGUCACAAUGAGGACUAUGUAACUCAGAUGUCACCGUUUGAAUGUGCAAGGAACUGCCUUUUUCAACUUAAAGCAUCUAUUGAAAGCCUUUACCAAAAGAACCUGUUUCCUUAUAAUCCACUGGUGCUACUACGUCGGUAUGUAUGUUUGACACACUUGGGGUUUUCAUUAGUUUAUAUUGUAUUCUGGAGAUUGCAUCACACUCUGAUACUCCAUAAUAUAUUUAUUAUUUCUA
This 471-nucleotide unclassified non-coding RNA is filed under the name Hevea brasiliensis (rubber tree). The record is from RNAcentral. Lineage: Eukaryota; Viridiplantae; Streptophyta; Magnoliopsida; Malpighiales; Euphorbiaceae.